This 519-nucleotide ribosomal RNA is filed under the name uncultured Glomeromycotina. RNAcentral's name for it is "SSU rRNA". It matches the Rfam family "Eukaryotic small subunit ribosomal RNA", at positions 569 to 1092 of the family's 1831-position model. The record is from RNAcentral. Lineage: Eukaryota; Fungi; Glomeromycota.
AGCAGCCGCGGUAAUUCCAGCUCCAAUAGCGUAUAUUAAAGUUGUUGCAGUUAAAAAGCUCGUAGUUGAAUUUCGGGAUCAAUAUUUCGGUCAUGCCGUUGGUAUGCACUGUUAUCAUUGAUUUCUCACCUUCUAAAGAACCGUAAUGCCAUUAAUUUGGUGUUACGGGGAAUUAGGACUGUUACCUUGAAAAAAUUAGAGUGUUUAAAGCAGGCUCACGCUUGAAUACAUUAGCAUGGAAUAAUGAAAUAGGACAUCCGAUUCUAUUUUGUUGGUUUCUAGGAUCGAUGUAAUGAUUAAUAGGGAUAGUUGGGGGCAUUAGUAUUCAAUUGUCAGAGGUGAAAUUCUUGGAUUUAUUGAAGACUAACUACUGCGAAAGCAUUUGCCAAGGAUGUUUUCAUUAAUCAAGAACGAAAGUUAGGGGAUCGAAGACGAUCAGAUACCGUCGUAGUCUUAACCAUAAACUAUGCCGACUAGGGAUCGGAUGAUGUUAAAAAAUGACGCGCUCGGCACCUCAUG